RNAcentral lists this ribosomal RNA (624 nucleotides) under Chaetothyriales sp. CMT13. RNAcentral's name for it is "eukaryotic LSU rRNA". The stretch from base 248 to 402 matches the Rfam family "5.8S ribosomal RNA". Lineage: Eukaryota; Fungi; Ascomycota; Eurotiomycetes; Chaetothyriales. The record is from RNAcentral.
ACCUGCGGAGGGAUCAUUACCGAGUGAAGGGUCUGCCUCGCGGCGGCCCCGACCUCCCAACCCUUUGUUUAUCGAACCUCUCGUUGCUUCGGCGGGCCCGUCCCUCACAGGACCGCCGGGGGAAGUCUCGAAAGAGACCCCCCCUGGCCCGCGCCCGUCGAGAGCCUACCUCAAAAAACUCGUGAAUGAAUCGUGUCUAUAAUCUGAGUACCUACGGUCGUUUUACGGCCGCAAAAUUAAAAAGCAAAACUUUCAACAACGGAUCUCUUGGUUCUGGCAUCGAUGAAGAACGCAGCGAAAUGCGAUAAGUAAUGCGAAUUGCAGAAUUUCAGUGAGUCAUCGAAUCUUUGAACGCACAUUGCGCCCUUUGGUAUUCCGAAGGGCAUGCCUGUCCGAGCGUCAUUAUCACCCCUCAAGCCCCGUGCUUGGUGUUGGGCAUCGGGGCGGUUUCCCCCCCUUUCCCUAAAGACAAUGACGGCGGCCUGUGGUUCCCCCGGUACACUGAGCUUCCUCACGGACGGCACGUAUCGGACGAGGGCGCCCGGGUCCCGGCCUCAACCCCCCUAUUUUCUCAAGGUUGACCUCGGAUCAGGUAGGAAUACGCGCUGAACUUAAGCAUAUCAU